Molecule: ribosomal RNA, 514 nt
Filed under: uncultured bacterium
Lineage: Bacteria
Description: partial 16S ribosomal RNA
Rfam family: Bacterial small subunit ribosomal RNA
Source: RNAcentral
GAUGAACGCUGGCGGCGUGCCUAAUACAUGCAAGUCGAGCGAACAGAUGAGAAGCUUGCUUCUCUGAUGUUAGCGGCGGACGGGUGAGUAACCCGUGGGUAACCUACCUAUAAGACUGGGAUAACUCAGGGAAACCGGGGCUAAUACCGGAUAAUAUUUUGAACCGCAUGGUUCGUUAGUGAAAGACGGUUUCGGCUGUAACUUAUAGAUGGACCCGCGCCGUAUUAGCUAGUUGGUAAGGUAACGGCUUACCAAGGCGACGAUACGUAGCCGACCUGAGAGGGUGAUCGGCCACACUGGAACUGAGACACAGUCCAGACUCCUACGGGAGGCAGCAGUAGGGAAUCUUCCGCAAUGGGCGAAAGCCUGACGGAGCAACGCCGCGUGAGUGAUGAAGGUCUUCGGAUCGUAAAACUCUGUUGUUAGGGAAGAACAAAUUUGUUAGUAACUGAACAAGUCUUGACGGUACCUAACCAGAAAGCCACGGCUAACUACGUGCCAGCCGCCGCAGUAA